Molecule: ribosomal RNA, 339 nt
Filed under: Triticum aestivum (bread wheat)
Lineage: Eukaryota; Viridiplantae; Streptophyta; Magnoliopsida; Poales; Poaceae
Description: partial small subunit ribosomal RNA
Source: RNAcentral
AUGAACUUCUGCCUCUGCUUCUCGUGGAUGCGCCGUCACUCGUCGUCCUUGUCCUUCACGGCAAGGUUGCCUGCGACCGCCUGCUGGAGUAUGAAGUCUUCGAGCUCCUCGUCGUGGCGUCGGCGCUCCGCCUCCUCGUGCAAGUUCCAUUCGGCAAUGGUGGACGCGACUGCGUCGACAUCGGCCACGAAAUCUUCGAGCCCGAUGACGCCUCGACGCUCGAUAUCCUCUGGCUUCUGCUUGACGGCGACGAGCUCGAGGUCCUCCAGCUCUUCCGACCACUCCCUCUUCAUGGGGAGAACUGCCGCGCCGGAAGGGCCCCUCGCGGAGGAGGACUAG